GACGAACGCUGGCGGCGUGCUUAACACAUGCAAGUCGAACGGAAAGGCCCUGCUUUUGUGGGGUGCUCGAGGGGCGAACGGGUGAGUAACACGGGAGUAACCUUCCCUUGACUUUGGGAUAACUUCAGGAAACUGGGGCUAAUACCGGAGAGGAGCUCCUGCUGCAUGGGGGGGGUUGGAAAGUUUCGGCGGUUGGGGAUGGACUCGCGGCUUAUCAGCUUGUUGGUGGGGUAGUUGCUUACCAAGGCUUUGACGGGUAGCCGGCAUGAGAGGGUGACCAGCCACAUUGGGACUGAGAUACGGCCCAGACUCCUACGGGAGGCAGCAGUGGGGAAUAUUGCACAAUGGGCGGAAGCCUGAUGCAGCAACGCCGCGUGCGGGAUGACGGCCUUCGGGUUGUAAACCGCUUUCGCCUGUGACGAAGCGUGAGUGACGGUAAUGGGUAAAGAAGCACCGGCUAACUACGUG
Molecule: ribosomal RNA, 468 nt
Filed under: uncultured bacterium
Lineage: Bacteria
Description: partial 16S ribosomal RNA
Rfam family: Bacterial small subunit ribosomal RNA
Source: RNAcentral